GCCUGGGUGGCUCAGUCGUUUGAGUGUCUGACUUUGGCUCAGGUCAUGAUCUCACGGUUCGUGAGUUCGAGCCCCACGUCAGGCU
RNAcentral lists this transfer RNA (85 nucleotides) under Felis catus (domestic cat). It matches the Rfam family "tRNA". Rfam says of the family: Transfer RNA (tRNA) molecules are approximately 80 nucleotides in length. Their secondary structure includes four short double-helical elements and three loops (D, anti-codon, and T loops). RNAcentral also lists the same sequence under 2 other names. Lineage: Eukaryota; Metazoa; Chordata; Mammalia; Carnivora; Felidae. The record is from Rfam by way of RNAcentral.